Molecule: ribosomal RNA, 400 nt
Filed under: Eobania vermiculata
Lineage: Eukaryota; Metazoa; Mollusca; Gastropoda; Stylommatophora; Helicidae
Description: Massylaea vermiculata partial 16S ribosomal RNA
Rfam family: Archaeal large subunit ribosomal RNA
Source: RNAcentral
UUCUGCUCAAUGGAACUCUAAAUAGCCGCAGUACUCUGACUGUGCAAAGGUAGCAUAAUCAAUUGGCCUCUAAUUAAGGUCUGGAAUGAACGAACUUAUGGGUAGCAACUGUCUUAAAAUAGUUAAUUAAAUUGAUUAAUAAGUGCAAAUACUUAUUAAAUUAUAUUAGACGAGAAGACCCUAGAAACUUAUAAUUAUUUUGUUGGGGCGACAGAAUUACAUAAAACUAAUUUUAUUUUACGAGACGUAAAGCAGAAAGAAAAAGUUACUCUAGGGAUAACAGCAUAAUUUUGAAUAGCUUGUGACCUCGAUGUUGGACUAGGUAGAUAGUUUUUUAGAAGAAAGCGUUCUUGGCUCUGUUCGAGCAUUUUUAACCUACGUGAUCUGAGUUCAGACCGGA